ACAGCUCUGAUUUGACCCCUAGCCUGGGAAUCUCCUGUGCUGCAGGUGCAGCCCUAACCCUAAAAAGCAAAUGAUAAUUAAUAAUAAUAAUAAUAUGGGGAACUGUCUAUGACCUGGGUUGAGAAGACGCCCAUCAAUCAGAGACCUGGGCCCCUAGAAUAGGGCUUCAUGACCCUUCCUCUGGGUACAGUAACAAGAGGUGAUUUGAGGUUUUUCUCCCUUUGGGAAGGAAGGAAAUGUAGGUCGGGUUGCCCAUGGGGCGUCGUGUGAUGAUACAUGAAUUGUUAGAUUCUUGUGAUUUUGUGUGUGUGUGUGUAUUUGUGUGCACAGGCCCACGUGUGCCAGCUGGGCAGCCAAGGGGAGGCUGUCAGGACCUGAGUUUCUCUCCUCCCCUGCCCCCCGGCACCUGCUUAUUCCAUGUGGUACUGGCGCAGGUGACACUCACUCCUGUUCCAGCCACACCUGCCGCCGAUCCCCAGGCCAAGCCACAGAGGUGCGACUGGCCUGGUGACUGCCUGAGCGUAGUUUACAAAGACAUACGGUUCCGCAGGACGCAGAAAGCAACCACUGCCCGCCUCCACCUGCCUUCCCACGCUUCAGAGGAAAAAGGUCCUUUGGCCCUUUCCCCUGUUUCUUCUGGAUCUUACUUUCUUCUUUCUAAAUCCUGUGCUUGUGCUAAUGUGACUUGACGUGGUUGCGGUUGGGGACGUUGGCUGCUACCCUCCUGCACUGGAAGAAGAGGCGCUUCCGUGUCUCCGGCUCUGCCACCAACGCAGUUAACGCGCAAUUGUCAGGGAAUUAUUCCGCCUUUUCAUUUAGACAGUCUCAGUAUUUUUGGCUGAGCCAUGUAGCUUACUAUAAUUAGAUUUCCUUUCUUACACAAUACUUGUUCUCCCUGAACUUGUCAUCUGUCCCCCCCUUCGCUGAUCGUAAUUCUUGCCCUAAAUCGCCUGGGGAAAUGGCCCGUCAGAUAUUUCCCCUGGAGGGGGCUCAGCCCUCCUGGAGUUGAAAGAUUCCUUUCUCCUGCACUUUGCAGUGGCGUGAGAGACGCAUCUAGAGCAUCUUAGCCAGGCGUUGGUUCGUGUCAUCGUCUCCGUGGCGGUUUCCAGGCGUGAUUGAACCAGGCCGUGACCUUUCCACGAGCCCUUCUGCCACUCCUCCUGUUGCCCUCAGGUGAUCACUGCUUCAGAGUCACACCAGUGGAGGCCUCGAUCUGCCCCGAGUAGGGCCAGGCGGGCUCCCCGUGGUCUGGAGGGCUUUGGGCUGAACCCCGGCUCCUGGAGGCAGGCCUUGGAGAAACGGCUCAUCCAGGGGAGACCGGGAGCUGCAGGAAGCAGCCUGGGCCCAAGCCGACCAGCAAGUCCAGGAUGCUCCACCUGGGGUCACAACAGCCUGAGCUUCUCUUGAUUCUGGCUGCUCAAUGUCCGGCGUUGGCAGAGUAGAGAUGGCACCUUGGCAGCCAGAGACAAGUUUCUGCUGACCAGAUGUUGCCUGGGGCCUUAUAAGAGAAUGCAGAUUCUGGGGCCAGCCCCAGGAUUUGCUGACCCCGGGGCCUGGGCAUGUACCUUCCCCCUCCCAGCUCCUGCACCCCCACCCCCGUCCUUCGGCAAAGUCCCAUUAUCCAGGGCCGCAUUUUCCAGUGUCCUCCGUGAUAAGGAUUCCAUGAUGGUCUGACUAAAAAUGCAAAUUCCUGGGCCCCAUCCUGGAACCACUGGCUCAGAGUCACCAGUGGGCUGAGGCCCGGGGAGCAGGGAGUAGUGGAACCUAGCAUUCCAGGACACUUCAGAUGCCAAGGCCAAGGUUGCCUGCUGGAAACCAUCAGAGGGAAGGAACCAAGGCCCAGGCCAUGCCUUUGAACGGCUUUGCGUCUGUUAAUUGAAACAAAAAACUAGCCAAAGGCUGAGGACGCCCCCAGGGCCUUUGAGCCCAGGCAGGUCCCAUCAGAAAGUUUCCUAGCUUUUCACUCAUCUACCUGUCCCCCUCUGAGAACUUCCAAAGCUUUCUAAUUCUGCUAAGUUGAAAUCAGGAUAUAAACUCCGUCCUUAUGCUGCUGGUUUAAAGAUUCGAGGCAACGUUCUUUUCAGUAAUUAUCUCCAAAAGUACAUUUCAUUGGGCUUGAUUUUUCAAAAGCAAGGGUCACGUUUUCUGCUUUUUAAAGAAAGAAAAUUUUCCACACCUGUCGUUUCUCCCAGCUUCUGAAGUUUUCAACUUCAUUUCUAUGUAAACCCUGAGCUUCUAAGGCCCAAAAAACACAUAGCGUUUAUCUCUGUAGCCCUUGGGUGCAGAUCGGCGCCCAGCCUGUUCCAUGGAUGCGAGGGAUAUAUUUUAUUUUCCUCGGUGAAGUUAAACUAAGACUCUCCCAGUUAAACUUUACCUAUUUUGGGGGUGAGACAUGGGACAUGCGGUUGGUUAUUGGCUUAUUAAUUUGAAGAUUUAUGAGAGGCAAAUGCCAGUCUUUUCUUUAAAAAAAAAAAAAAAAGUAAAACCGAGAGACAAAACCUACAAUUGUCCG
Sus scrofa (pig) is the source of this 2512-nucleotide non-coding RNA. The record is from RefSeq and is a predicted model, not a curated record. NCBI's taxonomy places the organism in Eukaryota, Metazoa, Chordata, Mammalia, Artiodactyla, Suidae.